RNAcentral lists this ribosomal RNA (354 nucleotides) under uncultured bacterium. RNAcentral describes it as "bacterial SSU rRNA". It matches the Rfam family "Bacterial small subunit ribosomal RNA", at positions 527 to 881 of the family's 1533-position model. The record is from RNAcentral.
GGAGGGUGCAAGCGUUAAUCGGAAUCACUGGGCGUAAAGCGCACGUAGGCGGCUUGGUAAGUCAGGGGUGAAAUCCCACAGCCCAACUGUGGAACUGCCUUUGAUACUGCCAGGCUUGAGUACCGGAGAGGGUGGCGGAAUUCCAGGUGUAGGAGUGAAAUCCGUAGAUAUCUGGAGGAACACCGGUGGCGAAGGCGGCCACCUGGACGGUAACUGACGCUGAGGUGCGAAAGCGUGGGUAGCAAACAGGAUUAGAUACCCUGGUAGUCCACGCCCUAAACGAUGUCUACUGGUUGUUGGGGUUUUUUAACCUUGGUAACGAAGCUAACGCGUGAAGUAGACCGCCUGGGGAGU